UAAGAAUUCAAAUAUAUGAACAUAUUUUAACAUAAAAACAAUAUUCAAAGGAUAACGCCAAAUUAAUACCUCACAAGAAAAUAAAAUGCUAGCUUUUGUAUAGAUAGACUGCUGGUUCCACACAGGAUGACAUUUGCGCUACUGGGCCCAUGUAUCAUUUUUCGCAAUUAAUACUGAAGAAUAAUUUCUAGACAUAUGGAUGUGGUAUUGUACAAACAGUGUCAACUGGACCACCUCUCGCGCAUGGUAGAAAAUCCAGUCUCUAUAGGUGCCUGGUAGACACUUAUGUACUUAAAUAUUGAAUUUAGAAAAACUAGGUGCCUUUGCAUGGGUGGUACAAGAUUCUGCAAUAAUUUCAUUUAGGAUCACACAUCAUUUUCUGACCGAGCAGUGGGAGGCGUGUUGGAAACGCACUAGCCAUAUAACACAUGAACAUGCUUGCGUGGUAUAACUACCGAGGAACAAAAAGGAUGAGAUGCCGUCUUGUGUUGUUGUUUUCCUCCAGUAUCUUAUAUCUCAGGGUUCGCAAAUACAUUGAGCAGAGAAGGGAAGAAAUGUAAUCCUAGCAUGACACAUUCAUAAUAAGGAUUACCAUUCUCAAUCUAUGGUAGUUUUGUUUUCAAUCGAGUUCUUAAAAGCAUACACGUAUAUAUAGCUAGGGUGCAUGGAUUUCAUUCUGGAAGUGUGAACUAAUUGCAUGUGAGUUGGUAGUCAUUCAUUUUGCGAAACAUGCAUGUAGCAACAAGAGUUCAUGUGUAAACACCUUGGUGCACGCCAUGUGUGUUCUUUUUGGUGGUCAUUUAAGAAGUGCGAAUAAGACUGCUCUGAAAAGGAAAGAAAUGUUAUAUUCCCUCCGUUCUUAAAUAUAAGUCUUUUAAAAGAUUUCAUUAGGUGUCUACAUACAGAAC
Molecule: long non-coding RNA, 908 nt
Filed under: Hordeum vulgare
Lineage: Eukaryota; Viridiplantae; Streptophyta; Magnoliopsida; Poales; Poaceae
Description: long non-coding RNA (HVUL_LNC005995)
Source: RNAcentral